Molecule: non-coding RNA, 29 nt
Filed under: Homo sapiens (human)
Lineage: Eukaryota; Metazoa; Chordata; Mammalia; Primates; Hominidae
Source: RNAcentral
UGCCAUGGAGGGGAGCCUGAGAUGUGUGU